RNAcentral lists this ribosomal RNA (809 nucleotides) under Arachnomyces glareosus. Its description in RNAcentral is "eukaryotic LSU rRNA". It matches the Rfam family "Eukaryotic large subunit ribosomal RNA", at positions 85 to 912 of the family's 3401-position model. Lineage: Eukaryota; Fungi; Ascomycota; Eurotiomycetes; Onygenales; Arachnomycetaceae. The record is from RNAcentral.
AACGGCGAGUGAAGCGGCAAGAGCUCAAAUUUGAAAUCUGGUCCCCUCGGGGCCCGAGUUGUAAUUUGCAGAGGAUGCUUCGGGUUCGGCCCCGGUCUAAGUCCCCUGGAACGGGGCGUCAUGGAGGGUGAGAAUCCCGUCUGGGAUCGACGGCCGGACCCGUGUGAAGCUCCUUCGACGAGUCGAGUUGUUUGGGAAUGCAGCUCCAAAUGGGUGGUAAAUUUCAUCUAAAGCUAAAUACUGGUCGGAGACCGAUAGCGCACAAGUAGAGUGAUCGAAAGAUGAAAAGCACUUUGAAAAGAGAGUUAAACAGCAUGUGAAAUUGUUGAAAGGGAAGCGCUUGCGACCAGACUCGCCCGCGGGGGCUCAGCCGGCAUUCUUGCCGGUGCACUCCCCCGCGGUCGGGCCAGCGUCGGUUUGGGCGGUCGGUCAAAGGUCCCCGGAAUGUGUCGCCCCUCGGGGCGUCUUAUAGCCGGGGGCGCAAUGCGGCCUGCCCGGACCGAGGAACGCGCUCCGGCACGGACGCUGGCGUAAUGGUCGUAAGCGGCCCGUCUUGAAACACGGACCAAGGAGUCUAACAUCUACGCGAGUGUUCGGGUGUCAAACCCGUCCGCGCAGUGAAAGCGAACGGAGGUGGGAGCCCUUAAGGGUGCACCAUCGACCGAUCCGGAAGUCUUCGGAUGGAUUUGAGUAGGAGCGUAGCUGUUGGGACCCGAAAGAUGGUGAACUAUGCCUGAAUAGGGUGAAGCCAGAGGAAACUCUGGUGGAGGCUCGCUCCGGUUCUGACCUGCAAUUCUAUCGUUUAAUUU